UACAGAGGGUGCAAGCGUUGUUCGGAAUUAUUGGGCGUAAAGGGCGCGUAGGCGGUGCGGUAAGUCUGUAGUGAAAUCUCUGGGCUCAACUCAGAGUCUGCUGCAGAAACUGCCGUGCUUGAGUGUGGGAGAGGUGAGUGGAAUUCCCGGUGUAGCGGUGAAAUGCGUAGAUAUCGAGAGGAACACCUGCGGCGAAGGCGGGUUGCUGGGCCGACACUGACGCUGAUGCGCGAAAGCCAGGGGAGCGAACGGG
This 253-nucleotide ribosomal RNA is filed under the name uncultured bacterium. RNAcentral describes it as "partial 16S ribosomal RNA". It matches the Rfam family "Bacterial small subunit ribosomal RNA", at positions 524 to 776 of the family's 1533-position model. The record is from RNAcentral.